This 199-nucleotide ribosomal RNA is filed under the name uncultured bacterium. RNAcentral's name for it is "partial 16S ribosomal RNA". It matches the Rfam family "Bacterial small subunit ribosomal RNA", at positions 328 to 539 of the family's 1533-position model. The record is from RNAcentral.
ACGCUCGACACCUACGGGAGGCAGCAGUCGGGAAUAUUGCGCAAUGGAGGAAACUCUGACGCAGUGACGCCGCGUGCAGGAAGAAGGUUUUCGGAUUGUAAACUGCUUUAGACAGGGAAGAAAAAAGACAGUACCUGUAGAAUAAGCUCCGGCUAACUACGUACCAGCAGCCGCGGUAAUCUGAGCGGGCUGGCAAGGC